This 301-nucleotide ribosomal RNA is filed under the name uncultured bacterium. Its description in RNAcentral is "partial 16S ribosomal RNA". It matches the Rfam family "Bacterial small subunit ribosomal RNA", at positions 509 to 809 of the family's 1533-position model. The record is from RNAcentral.
CAGUAGCCGCGGUAAUACGAAGGGGGCAAGCGUUGUUCGGAAUUAUUGGGCGUAAAGGGUGCGUAGGCGGUUUGGCAAGUCUUAUGUGAAAUCUUCGGGCUCAACCCGAAGCCUGCACGAGAAACUGCCGGGCUUGAGUAUUGGAGAGGUGAGUGGAAUUUCCGGUGUAGCGGUGAAAUGCGUAGAUAUCGGAAGGAACACCUGUGGCGAAAGCGGCUCACUGGACAAUUACUGACGCUGAGGCACGAAAGCUAGGGGAGCAAACAGGAUUAGAUACCCCAGUAGUCCCUGUCUCUUAUAA